GAGUUUGAUCGUGGCUCAGAGCGAACGCUGGCGGCAGGCCUAAUACAUGCAAGUCGAGCGCACCUUCGGGUGAGCGGCGGACGGGUGAGUAACGCGUGGGAAUGUGCCCUUUGGUACGGAACAACACAGGGAAACUUGUGCUAAUACCGUAUGUGCCCUUCGGGGGAAAGAUUUAUCGCCAUUGGAGCAGCCCGCGUUGGAUUAGCUAGUUGGUGGGGUAAAGGCCCACCAAGGCGACGAUCCAUAGCUGGUCUGAGAGGAUGAUCAGCCACACUGGGACUGAGACACGGCCCAGACUCCUACGGGAGGCAGCAGUGGGGAAUAUUGGACAAUGGGGGCAACCCUGAUCCAGCAAUGCCGCGUGAGUGAUGAAGGCCUUAGGGUUGUAAAGCUCUUUUGGCGGGGACGAUGAUGACGGUACCCGCAGAAUAAGCCCCGGCUAACUUCGUGCCAGCAGCCGCCGUAAU
Molecule: ribosomal RNA, 467 nt
Filed under: uncultured Alphaproteobacteria bacterium
Lineage: Bacteria; Pseudomonadati; Pseudomonadota; Alphaproteobacteria
Description: bacterial SSU rRNA
Rfam family: Bacterial small subunit ribosomal RNA
Source: RNAcentral